GUAGGACUACCCGCUGAACUUAAGCAUAUCAAUAAGCGGAGGAAAAGAAACUAACAAGGAUUCCCCUAGUAACUGCGAGUGAAGCGGGAAGAGCUCAAAUUUAGAAUCUGGCAGCCUACGGUUGUCCGAGUUGUAGCCUAGAGAAGCGUUUUCUGCGUUGGGCCAUGUACAAGUCCCUUGGAACAGGGCGUCAUAGAGGGUGAGAAUCCCGUACUUGACAUGGACUCCCAGGGCUAUGUGAUGCGCUCUCGAAGAGUCGGGUUGUUUGGGAAUGCAGCUCUAAAUGGGUGGUAAAUUCCAUCUAAAGCUAAAUAUUGGCGAGAGACCGAUAGCGAACAAGUACCGUGAGGGAAAGAUGAAAAGCACUUUGGAAAGAGAGUUAAACAGUACGUGAAAUUGUUGAAAGGGAAACGCUUGAAGUCAGUCGCGUCGGCCGGGACUCAGCCUUGAACGGUGCACUUCCCGGUGGACGGGCCAGCAUCAGUUUUGAUCGUCGGAAAAGGGUUUGAGGAAUGUGGCAUCUUCGGGUGUGUUAUAGCCUCUUGCCGCACGCGACGGUUGGGACUGAGGAUCGCAGCUUCGGCUUAGGAUGCUGGCGUAAUGGCUUUAAACGACCCGUCUUGAAACACGGACC
Molecule: ribosomal RNA, 634 nt
Filed under: uncultured Dacrymycetes
Lineage: Eukaryota; Fungi; Basidiomycota; Dacrymycetes
Description: eukaryotic LSU rRNA
Rfam family: Eukaryotic large subunit ribosomal RNA
Source: RNAcentral